Molecule: ribosomal RNA, 905 nt
Filed under: uncultured bacterium
Lineage: Bacteria
Description: bacterial SSU rRNA
Rfam family: Bacterial small subunit ribosomal RNA
Source: RNAcentral
CCCUUAGAGUUUGAUCCUGGCUCAGGAUGAACGCUAGCUACAGGCUUAACACAUGCAAGUCGAGGGGAAACGACAUCGAAAGCUUGCUUUUGAUGGGCGUCGACCGGCGCACGGGUGAGUAACGCGUAUCCAACCUGCCCACCACUUGGGGAUAACCUUGCGAAAGUAAGACUAAUACCCAAUGAUAUCUCUAGAAGACAUCUGAAAGAGAUUAAAGAUUUAUCGGUGAUGGAUGGGGAUGCGUCUGAUUAGCUUGUUGGCGGGGUAACGGCCCACCAAGGCGACGAUCAGUAGGGGUUCUGAGAGGAAGGUCCCCCACAUUGGAACUGAGACACGGUCCAAACUCCUACGGGAGGCAGCAGUGAGGAAUAUUGGUCAAUGGACGAGAGUCUGAACCAGCCAAGUAGCGUGCAGGAUGACGGCCCUAUGGGUUGUAAACUGCUUUUAUAAGGGAAUAAAGUGAGUCUCGUGAGACUUUUUGCAUGUACCUUAUGAAUAAGGACCGGCUAAUUCCGUGCCAGCAGCCGCGGUAAUACGGAAGGUCCGGGCGUUAUCCGGAUUUAUUGGGUUUAAAGGGAGCGUAGGCCGGAGAUUAAGCGUGUUGUGAAAUGUAGAUGCUCAACAUCUGCACUGCAGCGCGAACUGGUUUCCUUGAGUACGCACAAAGUGGGCGGAAUUCGUGGUGUAGCGGUGAAAUGCUUAGAUAUCACGAAGAACUCCGAUUGCGAAGGCAGCUCACUGGAGCGCAACUGACGCUGAAGCUCGAAAGUGCGGGUAUCGAACAGGAUUAGAUACCCUGGUAGUCCGCACGGUAAACGAUGGAUGCCCGCUGUUGGUCUGAAUAGGUCAGCGGCCAAGCGAAAGCAUUAAGCAUCCCACCUGGGGAGUACGCCGGCAACGGUGAA